UCACGCGCACCUGGUCAGCAGCCCUGCGCCUCCCGCUACCCGGUACCCUGCCCAGCAUCACUCCCCGCACCACCUGGCCUGCCGCUUGCUGCCCCCGCUGCAGGUGACCACCCCCAGCAGCAGCGUCAAGAGCUACACCGACAGCGAGAAGCCGGUGUCCAAGUCCGACAACAAGAUCAAGUACGGCAAGUACGACCUGAUCAAGCCCUGGACCCUGCAGGAGCUGUCGGUGCACUUUGAGAACAACAAGCCCUUCAAGCAUGUGAGUGUUUGUGCGUGUGUGUGUGUGUGUGUGUGUCUGUAGGAAGCAAAACGGAAGAGAGCGCCAAGCGCCAAACGUUGCCUGUGUCUGAAUGUGUGUGUUUGCGUGCGUGUGCAUGCUUGUGAUGGAAACCAAGCGCGCGUGCGCCUGUUCCUGUGUUCAUGGGCAGCAAGCAUAUGUGUGGAGCCCAGUGAAAGGGAAGUUAAGACCUACCACACCUCACCACACACCUCACACCCCUCCCACACCUCCGCACAGAUUGUGACGUACGUCAAGGAGAUCGAGGUGUCGCACUGGGGCAACAUCUACGUGGAGGAGAAGUACGAGAUCAAGAACGCGGGCGCGCGCCACUCGGGCUCCUUUUCGCGCCUCAAGUACGCGCACUCCUACAACGGCAAGGCCAACUCCUUCCGGGUGAGUGAGGGUGUGUGUGUGAGUGUGAUGGUGCGUUAAAGCGCAUUCGGCGAUGUCAGAUGUAUCUUCACACACGACCACUGCGCUCGCAUGCGUCGCUCCAGCCCCCCCCCCCCCUGCCCACCUCCAUCUCUCACUGCCCCACCUUCCAGGACGUGCGCGCCGUGCUGCCCCCCUCGGCCCGCUCGCUGUACUACGUGGACCUCAUCGGCAACAUCAGCUCCUCCAACACCCGCAAGACCGUGCAGGCGGUGAGCGAGGCAGGCGGCGGCUGGGAAGCGGGGAGUGGAUAAUUGUUUCAGGAAGGGCGGGUGGUGUAGGAGCUUGGGACAAGAGAUAUUGGACAAUGUUUAUGGUCUUUUGCCGGGCCUCAUGACCACCCGCACACUCGUGAACCCCCUCUCAAUCCCUCACACACGCGCGCCCAAUUACUCACAUACACGCCUCUGCCAACCCACCCACCCCCAGACGGUUGUGGACAUCGACCUGCGCUACCCGCUCAUGGGCGGCUGGAAGGUGGACUUCACCCUGGGUAAGUCUAUGUGCGGGUGUGUUUGUGUUUGUGGGGCAGGGGGAGCGCCGCGGCCGCUGCGGGAGUGAGUGGGGCGCGGUAAUGCGGCUGGGGCGGGGAUGUUUGGGGGUAAGAGCGUUUGGGCUGCAGUGGAGCUAUCCUGAGGGGGCAUGGUUGCAUGGCCCCGGUACGCAACCGCCGUCGCCACACACGUGCCUCAUAGCCGCUCCGCCCUCUCCUCUCCUCAACUAUGCCCUCCCCCCUCCCUUCCCCUCACCUCCCCCCCUAUCUCAGGCUACUCUGUGCCUCUGACCGGCUUCCUGUUCCACACCAAGGGCGGCCGCCGCAAGCUCACCAUGGACCUGGCCUCGCCGCUGGAGGACGUGUUCGUGGAGGACAUGGUGGUGCGGGUGAGGCAAGGGGAGGGGGCGGGGGGGGGGGGCCAGGGGGCGGGGUUGAGGGGCGGGGGAGGUGAGAAGUUGCAGGUGACGGAGCCAUGGGAGAGAAGGCGGAGGCGGAGGUAUGCGAAGGCAGGCAGAGGCAUUGUCCUGCGCCGUCCCUUCCCGGGUCGUGCUCUCUACGCAACGCGCGCCCCUGCCCCCCCCCUACGCCUUCACUUCUUAAAUGAUCAUGAAUGUCAAAACCCCCCCUGCCCAGGUGGUCCUGCCCGAGGGCUCCUCCAAGCUCCAGGCGGUGCUGCCCUACGACAUGGACCAGAGCACCGACGUCAAGUGCGUGGGGUGCGAGCAGGGGCGAGCGGGAAGGGGGGGAGCGGGCCGCGUGUGUGUAGGGGGGGGAGGAGGGGGUUGUAGAUACCAGCCCAAACUGAACCGAACCCAAUGCAUUGGGGGGCCAUUGAUGAAGGCCGGCGGCUCCAGUCCGAGAUCAGCCGGGACCCAGCGGUGGAAACAGUGUCGGUUUCAAUGCACGCCCCCCGGAGAGGCAGCUGUGUAGGCAGAGGCACCUACAGCCUCCGCCUACACAGCUGCCUCCCCGGCACACACCUUCCACGCGCUAAAGUGCACCUCCCCAGGCGCCCAACCUCCUGUCAAUCAUCGCCCUCGCCUAACCUAGUACCGUUUGCACGACACCUGCCCUAUUCCCCCCCCCCCCGCGCGCGCAGGUACACCUACCUGGACACCACCGGCCGCCCGGUGCUGGUGCUUCACCGCCGCAACGUGGCCUCGCCCGAGCACAGCGCCAAGUUCAGUGUGGAGUACUCGUUCGCGGCCACCUCCAUCCUGCGCGAGCCGCUGCUGCUGGUGAGAGAGGCAGAGCGCAGGGGGGCGAGGGGCGGGAGGGGGGGAGCGAGGGACGAGGGACACGGGGUGUGCCAGAGCGCGCACGGCACUGCCCAGCACGGCACCUUGCGUGUGUGUGACCUCGUGGGGUCUUGUGAACCCUGUGCGCAAUCACGUUGAAGCCUCUCACCGUGCUGCACAUUGCAACCCCCCCCCUCUUCCUCUCCCUCUCCCUCUCCCCCGCUUUCCUCCACCGUGUAGGUCUCUGUGUUCUUCUGCCUGUUCGCGGCCGUGAUCGCCUACAACCGCCUGGAGCUGGUGAUCACGCGCGACGACAAGUGGGCGGCGGCGCGCGACAGGGAGGUGCUGGCAACCUACAUGGAGCAGAUCCAGGCGGCGCUGGAGGGUGAGGCGGGGGCGGAGGUGGAAGGGGCACAGGGAGGGAGGGAGGGAGGGCUGGGGAUGGGCUGAGCCCAGCGGGAAUGUCCCUGUCCCAGUGUCACCCAGAGAAGGCCCAGGGGCCGGCCCAUGCGAUGACUGGGACCUUCAGCUUGGUGAUUAGGCGCGACCGCCGGGAUGGCGCUGGCCGACCAUGUGUGCACCUGCUUGCACCCCUGCUUUCCCCACCCCGCGCCCCGCGUUCCGCUUUUCCUUCCGAACUUGGCAAUCCCGCUGCCCCACUGCCCCCGCCCCCAGACGAGGCCUCCCUCAUGGCCGGCUUCGAGGCCGCCACCCGGGCGGUGCGCGACACCGAGGACGUGGACGCGGCUCAGCGCAAGCGGGCGGCGGUGGAGAAGGGGUGCAAGGACCUGGAGGACAAGGUGGGGGCAAGCAAGGGGCAGGGACAGCGAGAGGCUGAGGGGUAGGCCACACAAGAUGUGCCGUAUGCGGAAUCGGUCGUGCCUGACUGCGUUUAUAUGUACCGGCUCCACACCAUCACUUCGCCCCCACCACCCGCGCGUGGCUGCUGCUUUCCAGUGCUUCACCCCCACGCUGACCCCCGCGUUCACUCGGUUGGCUUGCUGUGGUAUUCUGGAAUGAACUACCCCACCUCGCACCCCAACCCAAUCAACCCCACCCAACCCAACACUGCGUGCACAGGUGAAGCCGCUGCUGGCUGCCGUGGAGUCGCGCUCCGCCCGUGUCGCGGGCCAGGUGCGCGAGGUGCUGGACAAGUCCAAGGCGCUGCAGGCUCGCUACGGCCGGCAGCUGGCGGAGCGGGUGGAGCUGGUCAAGAAGGGCAGCACCAUGGGGGUGAGGAGCAAGGGGGGGUCCACCAUUGCGAAUAAGGAACUGGAGACACGAGGGUGUCAGGACAAGCGGGAGGAAGGGAGGAAAUGUGGUGCACAGGGUCGGUAUUCGCGACGGGGGCGCCCCAGGCAAUUACAGCUGUGCGGUGCUGCAUUAGGGCUCGCCCUGUCACCCACCACAGCACACCUGCUCCGCUGCCCCCCCGCCCCCAUGCCAACCCUCCCUGCACUGCUCCCCCCCAGGAGAUCAGCCGCAAGCUGGCUCCGGGCCAGGAGGCUUUGGAGGCUGCCCGCCGCGAGCUCAAGAACGCUAUCGACACCGUGUUCGGCGCGUACUGAGCGACCUGCUAGGGGGCCUGUGUGGCAUGAUGAUGGAGGUGGUGUUGUUAUGGAGGUGUGGUGAGAUGAGGAGGUGGCCUUGAAAAGCGGACACGUAGGGACAGGCAGUGACAGGCCGGCCCGCUGCAUACACAGGUGGGAGCCGGAGGAGGUGUGAGGUAUGGUCCAAGCCCCAACGACAUUGUGCUCUUGCCUUCUCCGAUACGCAUUCAAAUAGUUCAUCUGCGUUUAAUAUGGUAUGAUCCUGGUCCCAAGGGUUUAGAGGUACGGGCACGGGUAGGGGGGUGUUGCGUGUGCCUGUGUUGCUCGUCGUGUUUGCAGGGCAGACGGAACCGUGGCAGACGCUGUGCACCCAUUCCAGAGCAUCUUGGUUACAUGUGCCCCUGCCCAACCGGGGUGAGGUAUGACGCCACCACUGCACCCGCCCUUUGGACCUGUGCUGCCGCCCAAAUCAGAGCGCCACUUCCCUGCCCGCCGACCGCCACUACCGCCCGGUAACGUACACUCCGUGACUCCGUUCGCACUAGCUAGCGCGUCCAGAUUCCCCUUCUGCCUAAAGCCUACCGUAUGUCUAAAGUCUUCAGCAGUAUUCUCCUCGCAUCGACCCCGCUCGCGCUCUCCAACCGUCCUAGGGAGCGUCGGACGUCCUCCAGCUCUGCUUAGCCACGUGCAGACGCAUUGUGUUUGAUAAAACAAGUGAUAUGAGUACGAAUAGUCAGUCACAGAAUGAGGGCGCCUAUAACUCUCCCUCGUCGGAGUUCACCGGCCCGACGUUACCGGCCCCGGGCGCGCCUGAAUCCGUGGAAGGUGAGCGGGGACAGGCGCGGGGGCGCCCUCAGCAUCGGCAGCGAGCAGGCACGCCCUCCGCACGCGGACUCAGCUGAGUAAGCCCCCCCCCUUAUGGGUGCGCCGCACCCCCGGGGCACGCUAACAGUCGUGGACGCCCUCGCGGCCUUCAACGUGCUGCUCGCCCUCCUACAAGCGUACUUCCCGUCGACGAAGGUUGUCGCGAUGAUUCUCCUCGGAGUUGCAGUGACAGGUGAAGCCACCCCAGGAGGGCAGGAUGGGCAGCACAACGUCACUGCUACUCCGAUUAGGAUCAUCGCGACAACCUUCGUCGACGGGAAGCACGCUUGAAGGAGGGCGAGCAGCACGUUGAAGGCCGCGAGGGUGUCCACGACUGUGAAAAGGGGAGGAUGCCGCUAAGCCAGCUUCUCGUGCGCUGGGCCUGAGGUGAAGCCGCAGAAUGACAGCGCCAGGUGCAGAAACCACGUGACAUCCUCUGCGCAGGUUGUGCGAAAUACGUUGGGCAUCGACUGUUCAGCUGCAUCGAAAGUGUCCCCGGUACUCACCCUUGCUGAACCAUCUCUGCUCUUCCCGCAGCGCCUGGAGCUCGGCGCGUAUUUCGGCCCUGAGUGCUGCCAGCUCCUCCUGGAACUGCUGCGGCUGCUGCGGCUGCUGCGGUACCGCGUCCAUUUCAGCAGUCGGAAUUAAGCAAAGUCUUUCGAGGAGUUAGUGCGUUUCCGGUUUGGUCAGCCGCAGACACUUGAUCCCACAAUUCCAGCGACUUUUGCGACCGGCUCUCCACCGACCGCUUGGAUGCUUGCGCCCGGUCGCUGCCCCAGCUACUUCCGCGGUGAAAUAACAACGGUGAGCACUCUCAACCACUGCGAGGACAGCCCUAGCAACCGCACUGCGUAAGAAGUACAGCAUCGAUUUGCUGCAUGUUGAUUUUGGCGCAAAUGGGGGGUGCAAGCAGUUUGUUUCUCUCAGACGCGAGCUAGCGCCCAAGCGCGCGAUAUGGGGGCGAGGAGCCACUAUGUAGCUGUAACGAUUGCAUGAGUGGCGAAUUUUACUUCGAGGGUCUAGGGUGCGAGCGGAGUGGGAUUACCCCCCGAGGGGCACGCCAUGCGCUCAGGCCCCAUGCAACAGAAAUUCGCCGGGCACCAACCCACGCACAGAUAAUUCAUAGGACUACACCAUAGCCAUCAGAGACCGGCCGGGAACAAGCCCCGCAAGCGGGGCAGCAUGGGCGCGACACCACCCUGCCGCGCCAACUCACCCCAAACACGCCCCAACCACUUGUGCGACACAAGGGCUACCAUACAGUAGCGCGCGACACCUAAUCGCGUGCGCCGGAGUGUGCGAGCAAACAUUGUACGGAGGAGCUCGUUUGGGCCCUAGGACGCAGGGCCUGGGCUGGCAUUUGGUGCAUUCAAUAGAGCAUAGAAAACCGAGGCCACAUAUGUGCUCGGGUGCGCAAAGGUCGGCGGAAUUGUGGGAUCAAGUGACGUGGAAAUGGAUCUGGGGGACUGCGGGGUUUUGGGGUGUGUUGGGUUGGUGGCGUGAAGGGUGUGAUUUGUGAGGAAUUUAUCGAUGCAUGCCAAGUUGCACGCCUUUCCCCUGUGUUUCCUACAUGCCCCUGAACCCUCCCUUUGCUGGCUGCAGGCGAAGCGACAAGUGGUACCGCUGGUACCACCCACGGGGGCCUUGUGCCCAAGCCGGGNNNNNNNNNNNNNNNNNNNNNNNNNNNNNNNNNNNNNNNNNNNNNNNNNNNNNNNNNNNNNNNNNNNNNNNNNNNNNNNNNNNNNNNNNNNNNNNNNNNNUGGUACUAUACACGUGGCGGUCAUCGACAUUGCUUUGUGCCGGCGCGCAGCACCCAGGAUGUGCGGCGAUCGCUGAAAUGCAGUUGUGGGGUCCACACUCAUAUGGCACCCACGCCCCACACAGCACUGAUGCAGGGCUCCUGCAGCCGUCACGCCAUGGGAAUCAGCAUAUGGGCAGUGGCCUGUGCAUACUUCUCUGUGGCCUGGCGGGGCAUCUGGCCAGGGCGUUUGACUAGCGGCAUGGGGCCUGCACGCCGGUAGGGGGGCGCAGGCCCAAAAUGAUGCAAGGAAGCUGAUGUGUUGCGUGAGGUGCGCAGCGGUUCCUGAUGGACGUGGGUGCUUUCAUGCGUAUGUAUAUUGGCUAUGUGUGUUGAUCUUUGCACCAGGGUGGUGUCGCCGCGCAGCGGAGCAUUGGUGUUGGUGCACGGGGCGUGAACAUUGGGGCCCGCAGUUGGGAUCGCGCCGGCACGGUCGCGGGCACCGCUGAAGAUAUGUUGGCGCGACCGGUCGCUUAUGGUGCACGCUAAUACCCGCAUACUGUGUGUAAGCACCGAUUGCAAUUAUAAGUUGCGCAUGUAGAUAUCGGUCUUCUCCCGACAUGCGCUCUGAUGACGGUUCCAUUUCCGCCAACUUAGGGUGAGAGUUAAGAGCCGGAGCCCUGUUGCCACCUGCAAAAUGCCUUAGCAACAUGUGGCAACUAUCUGCCCGAAGCAAGUUGCAAGCCAGCCCAGUUCAGGUUGCCACAUGCCAUGCUGGGUAUUCCCAGCGCGCUAGCGCACCUGCUUGGGCAGCUCGCUAUGGCUGCCGUCGACAGUUGACCCUGGUAUGCCAUCGCUAGAGUCGCAGCCCGCUCCGGCCAACCUCGCUCCUCCGCAACCGACACACGAACCCGACGUCACUUGAUCCCACAAUUCCAGCGACUUUUGCGACCGGCUCUCCACCGACCGCUUGGAUGCUUGCGCCCGGUCGCUGCCCCAGCUACUUCCGCGGUGAAAUAACAACGGUGAGCACUCUCAACCACUGCGAGGACAGCCCUAGCAACCGCACUGCGUAAGAAGUACAGCAUCGAUUUGCUGCAUGUUGAUUUUGGCGCAAAUGGGGGGUGCAAGCAGUUUGUUUCUCUCAGACGCGAGCUAGCGCCCAAGCGCGCGAUAUGGGGGCGAGGAGCCACUAUGUAGCUGUAACGAUUGCAUGAGUGGCGAAUUUUACUUCGAGGGUCUAGGGUGCGAGCGGAGUGGGAUUACCCCCCGAGGGGCACGCCAUGCGCUCAGGCCCCAUGCAACAGAAAUUCGCCGGGCACCAACCCACGCACAGAUAAUUCAUAGGACUACACCAUAGCCAUCAGAGACCGGCCGGGAACAAGCCCCGCAAGCGGGGCAGCAUGGGCGCGACACCACCCUGCCGCGCCAACUCACCCCAAACACGCCCCAACCACUUGUGCGACACAAGGGCUACCAUACAGUAGCGCGCGACACCUAAUCGCGUGCGCCGGAGUGUGCGAGCAAACAUUGUACGGAGGAGCUCGUUUGGGCCCUAGGACGCAGGGCCUGGGCUGGCAUUUGGUGCAUUCAAUAGAGCAUAGAAAACCGAGGCCACAUAUGUGCUCGGGUGCGCAAAGGUCGGCGGAAUUGUGGGAUCAAGUGACGUGGAAAUGGAUCUGGGGGACUGCGGGGUUUUGGGGUGUGUUGGGUUGGUGGCGUGAAGGGUGUGAUUUGUGAGGAAUUUAUCGAUGCAUGCCAAGUUGCACGCCUUUCCCCUGUGUUUCCUACAUGCCCCUGAACCCUCCCUUUGCUGGCUGCAGGCGAAGCGACAAGUGGUACCGCUGGUACCACCCACGGGGGCCUUGUGCCCAAGCCGUGGUGGCGCAUGGUAACUAUACACGUGGCGGUCAUCGACAUUGCUUUGUGCCGGCGCGCAGCACCCAGGAUGUGCGGCGAUCGCUGAAAUGCAGUUGUGGGGUCCACACUCAUAUGGCACCCACGCCCCACACAGCACUGAUGCAGGGCUCCUGCAGCCGUCACGCCAUGGGAAUCAGCAUAUGGGCAGUGGCCUGUGCAUACUUCUCUGUGGCCUGGCGGGGCAUCUGGCCAGGGCGUUUGACUAGCGGCAUGGGGCCUGCACGCCGGUAGGGGGGCGCAGGCCCAAAAUGAUGCAAGGAAGCUGAUGUGUUGCGUGAGGUGCGCAGCGGUUCCUGAUGGACGUGGGUGCUUUCAUGCGUAUGUAUAUUGGCUAUGUGUGUUGAUCUUUGCACCAGGGUGGUGUCGCCGCGCAGCGGAGCAUUGGUGUUGGUGCACGGGGCGUGAACAUUGGGGCCCGCAGUUGGGAUCGCGCCGGCACGGUCGCGGGCACCGCUGAAGAUAUGUUGGCGCGACCGGUCGCUUAUGGUGCACGCUAAUACCCGCAUACUGUGUGUAAGCACCGAUUGCAAUUAUAAGUUGCGCAUGUAGAUAUCGGUCUUCUCCCGACAUGCGCUCUGAUGACGGUUCCAUUUCCGCCAACUUAGGGUGAGAGUUAAGAGCCGGAGCCCUGUUGCCACCUGCAAAAUGCCUUAGCAACAUGUGGCAACUAUCUGCCCGAAGCAAGUUGCAAGCCAGCCCAGUUCAGGUUGCCACAUGCCAUGCUGGGUAUUCCCAGCGCGCUAGCGCACCUGCUUGGGCAGCUCGCUAUGGCUGCCGUCGACAGUUGACCCUGGUAUGCCAUCGCUAGAGUCGCAGCCCGCUCCGGCCAACCUCGCUCCUCCGCAACCGACACACGAACCCGACGUCUGACGUGGAAAUGGAUCUGGGGGACUGCGGGGUUUUGGGGUGUGUUGGGUUGGUGGCGUGAAGGGUGUGAUUUGUGAGGAAUUUAUCGAUGCAUGCCAAGUUGCACGCCUUUCCCCUGUGUUUCCUACAUGCCCCUGAACCCUCCCUUUGCUGGCUGCAGGCGAAGCGACAAGUGGUACCGCUGGUACCACCCACGGGGGCCUUGUGCCCAAGCCGUGGUGGCGCAUGGUAACUAUACACGUGGCGGUCAUCGACAUUGCUUUGUGCCGGCGCGCAGCACCCAGGAUGUGCGGCGAUCGCUGAAAUGCAGUUGUGGGGUCCACACUCAUAUGGCACCCACGCCCCACACAGCACUGAUGCAGGGCUCCUGCAGCCGUCACGCCAUGGGAAUCAGCAUAUGGGCAGUGGCCUGUGCAUACUUCUCUGUGGCCUGGCGGGGCAUCUGGCCAGGGCGUUUGACUAGCGGCAUGGGGCCUGCACGCCGGUAGGGGGGCGCAGGCCCAAAAUGAUGCAAGGAAGCUGAUGUGUUGCGUGAGGUGCGCAGCGGUUCCUGAUGGACGUGGGUGCUUUCAUGCGUAUGUAUAUUGGCUAUGUGUGUUGAUCUUUGCACCAGGGUGGUGUCGCCGCGCAGCGGAGCAUUGGUGUUGGUGCACGGGGCGUGAACAUUGGGGCCCGCAGUUGGGAUCGCGCCGGCACGGUCGCGGGCACCGCUGAAGAUAUGUUGGCGCGACCGGUCGCUUAUGGUGCACGCUAAUACCCGCAUACUGUGUGUAAGCACCGAUUGCAAUUAUAAGUUGCGCAUGUAGAUAUCGGUCUUCUCCCGACAUGCGCUCUGAUGACGGUUCCAUUUCCGCCAACUUAGGGUGAGAGUUAAGAGCCGGAGCCCUGUUGCCACCUGCAAAAUGCCUUAGCAACAUGUGGCAACUAUCUGCCCGAAGCAAGUUGCAAGCCAGCCCAGUUCAGGUUGCCACAUGCCAUGCUGGGUAUUCCCAGCGCGCUAGCGCACCUGCUUGGGCAGCUCGCUAUGGCUGCCGUCGACAGUUGACCCUGGUAUGCCAUCGCUAGAGUCGCAGCCCGCUCCGGCCAACCUCGCUCCUCCGCAACCGACACACGAACCCGACGUCAGACGUGGAAAUGGAUCUGGGGGACUGCGGGGUUUUGGGGUGUGUUGGGUUGGUGGCGUGAAGGGUGUGAUUUGUGAGGAAUUUAUCGAUGCAUGCCAAGUUGCACGCCUUUCCCCUGUGUUUCCUACAUGCCCCUGAACCCUCCCUUUGCUGGCUGCAGGCGAAGCGACAAGUGGUACCGCUGGUACCACCCACGGGGGCCUUGUGCCCAAGCCGUGGUGGCGCAUGGUAACUAUACACGUGGCGGUCAUCGACAUUGCUUUGUGCCGGCGCGCAGCACCCAGGAUGUGCGGCGAUCGCUGAAAUGCAGUUGUGGGGUCCACACUCAUAUGGCACCCACGCCCCACACAGCACUGAUGCAGGGCUCCUGCAGCCGUCACGCCAUGGGAAUCAGCAUAUGGGCAGUGGCCUGUGCAUACUUCUCUGUGGCCUGGCGGGGCAUCUGGCCAGGGCGUUUGACUAGCGGCAUGGGGCCUGCACGCCGGUAGGGGGGCGCAGGCCCAAAAUGAUGCAAGGAAGCUGAUGUGUUGCGUGAGGUGCGCAGCGGUUCCUGAUGGACGUGGGUGCUUUCAUGCGUAUGUAUAUUGGCUAUGUGCUUCCANNNNNNNNNNNNNNNNNNNNNNNNNNNNNNNNNNNNNNNNNNNNNNNNNNNNNNNNNNNNNNNNNNNNNNNNNNNNNNNNNNNNNNNNNNNNNNNNNNNNUGCCUUAGCAACAUGUGGCAACUAUCUGCCCGAAGCAAGUUGCAAGCCAGCCCAGUUCAGGUUGCCACAUGCCAUGCUGGGUAUUCCCAGCGCGCUAGCGCACCUGCUUGGGCAGCUCGCUAUGGCUGCCGUCGACAGUUGACCCUGGUAUGCCAUCGCUAGAGUCGCAGCCCGCUCCGGCCAACCUCGCUCCUCCGCAACCGACACACGAACCCGACGUCACUUGAUCCCACAAUUCCAGCGACUUUUGCGACCGGCUCUCCACCGACCGCUUGGAUGCUUGCGCCCGGUCGCUGCCCCAGCUACUUCCGCGGUGAAAUAACAACGGUGAGCAC
RNAcentral lists this long non-coding RNA (11548 nucleotides) under Chlamydomonas reinhardtii. RNAcentral describes it as "long non-coding RNA (CREI_LNC001007)". Lineage: Eukaryota; Viridiplantae; Chlorophyta; Chlorophyceae; Chlamydomonadales; Chlamydomonadaceae. The record is from RNAcentral.